CAAUGAAUAUCAGUCAAUUUUAUCACGGUUACUUUUCUUAAAUAAGACAUCCUUGAUGACGUAUGCAGCCUUCAAAUGAGACCUCCGGAGGACGCAGCCUCUGAAAUGAGACGCAGCUCACUUUAUAAUUUUAUAAUGCAUCUGUAUUUUAUAAAUAUGAUAAAACUAAAGGCUUUUCUGAGAUAUGAAGGAUGCACUGCUGCUCUAUAGGUACUCAAGAUUAACAUGAGAUUGGCAGAUGAACUCGCCAUAAAACUUGCUUACUUGAAAUUGUUCUUACUAAAUGAAUUUGGAUCUAGUUCCUGUCUUUGUGAUGAAUUGUUUUUCUUUUAAUUGCCAUACCAUUGUUUGCCCAUUACUGCAGAGAGUCUGACCUACACACAGACAUAUCACAUGAUGAUCUGGACAGAACUGUAGCAGAAAUCCAGAACCUCGAGCCCAACUCUGGCUACCGUAUGAUGCAUGGACACUUGAGCUCAAGAGUUGAAAGAGUGUGCGAGUCCCUACGGAGAGUGGAUCCACAGGGAGCACAGCUAUGAGCCUCGUCUCUACACACAUUGAGGCGUCGACAGUUUUCUGUUCCAGCACCUAAUGCCAUGUAACGUACAGAUGGGAACCACAAACUUAUUAGAAAAUCUUUGCACAGGUGGAGGAUAGUGGUCCAUGGAGGAAUAGAUGGCUUCAGCAGGAUGAUUGUGUUCCUAAAGCUGCUACAGAAAACAGUGCUUCUGUUGUGCUGCAGUUUCAUUGAAGCUGUGAACCGCUUUGGAUUCUCCUCCAGAGUGCGAUCCGAUAAGGGCCGGGAGAAUGUUGACGUGGCCUACUUCAUGGUGUCCAAUCGAGGGGAAAACCCACACUCCCACAUCACACGGCGCAGGGUCCAUAACCAAAGGAUCGAGAGACUGUGGAGGGAUGUUUCCCAGCAUGUUCUGGACCUGUUCUCCUGUCUCUUCCUUGAUCUGGAGGCAGAUGGCACAUUAAAUCCUGACAAUGAGCUGCAUCUUUUUGCUCUGCAUUGGACCUAUCUGCCACAGCUUCACAGGCAUCUUGGGUUUUUCCAGGAGGGAAUAAUCAUCAAAUCAGAACAGCAGGCCAUCAGUCUCCACUGCAACUCUGGACAAGCUUCCAACAUAUUCAAGAUCCACACCGGGUGCUUUCAAAUUAAGUUAGUUACCUGAUAAUCAACAUUUUAGUGGAUGACAGACAAGAAACUGAAUUACAAAAAAAUAUUAAAGAAAU
Ctenopharyngodon idella (grass carp) is the source of this 1239-nucleotide long non-coding RNA. RefSeq lists it as uncharacterized. Lineage: Eukaryota; Metazoa; Chordata; Actinopteri; Cypriniformes; Xenocyprididae. The transcript has 4 exons. The record is from RefSeq and is a predicted model, not a curated record.